This 443-nucleotide ribosomal RNA is filed under the name uncultured bacterium. RNAcentral's name for it is "partial 16S ribosomal RNA". It matches the Rfam family "Bacterial small subunit ribosomal RNA", at positions 338 to 795 of the family's 1533-position model. The record is from RNAcentral.
CCUACGGGUGGCAGCAGUGGGGAAUAUUGGGCAAUGGGCGCAAGCCUGACCCAGCAACGCCGCGUGAAGGAAGAAGGCUUUCGGGUUGUAAACUUCUUUUCUCAGGGACGAAGAAAGUGACGGUACCUGAGGACUAAGCCACGGCUAACUACGUGCCAGCAGCCGCGGUAAUACGUAGGUGGCAAGCGUUAUCCGGAUUUACUGGGUGUAAAGGGCGUGUAGGCGGGAAAGCAAGUCAGAUGUGAAAACCAUGGGCUCAACCUGUGGCCUGCAUUUGAAACUGUUUUUCUUGAGUACUGGAGAGGCAGACGGAAUUCCUCGUGUAGCGGUGAAAUGCGUAGAUAUGAGGAGGAACACCAGUGGCGAAGGCGGUCUGCUGGACAGCAACUGACGAUGAGGCGCGAAAGCGUGGGGAGCAAACAGGAUUAGAUACCCGAGUAGUC